GAGAAAACCAAAGCUGCAUAAUCUUACUCGCAAACCCGGAUUCGAUCGAAAAUCCGAGAUUAUGUUUUUGACCUGAUGAUUCUGGAGAUCGAAUACGGAGAACUGUGGGAACUCCGGUGAAGUAUAUUGUUCCUUACCCUCCACUUCACUUUCUCCUUCUUUUCUCCUCAGAAUCCCGAGCCGCUCUCCUUUGUUUAUUUUACAGAUGUUAAAAGCGUAGAAAACAAAAUCUCUGAGGAAGAUGAAGAAGAGGAUUUUGAUCAGAGGAAGCUCCAAACAGACCCAACGACGUUUGUUUGAUCCAACAUAGCACCGUAGUCCUCCAACGGAGCGUGAUGGUGGGAUCGUGGCUGGAUCGGGUCAGGGACAAAGUGGUGGUGGUGUGAGUGAGUAAGACUCCUGCGAUUUUGAAGGAGUUGGAAGAAGGUAAAGCAUCCUGUUUUACUGAUUUGGGUUUGAAAGAAGGUAAAGCAUUGGUUGAGAAGACUCAUGUGAUUUUGAAAGCUAAUUUGUCUAAAUAAGAAGGUGUGAAGAUCGUUGAGAAGCUGAAAGCACUUGGUGCUAAAGUUGUUUUGGACUAAAAUCAUCAAUUUGUGUUACUUUAAAGCUUCAAUUUUUCUUCUUUUGUUCCAUCUAUGAGCUUAUGAUACAAGCUGAUUAAGGUGUUUCUUAUAGUCAUAUGUUACACUUGCUCUUUUUCAUUGGUCAAUUAUUGGAUUUGAGAGAUGAAAAAGGAUAUGAUGAAUUUAUUCAAUAAACAUAAUUUUUUUUC
This is a long non-coding RNA of Arabidopsis lyrata subsp. lyrata, 772 nucleotides long. RefSeq lists it as uncharacterized. The record is from RefSeq and is a predicted model, not a curated record. The transcript has 2 exons. Lineage: Eukaryota; Viridiplantae; Streptophyta; Magnoliopsida; Brassicales; Brassicaceae.